This 381-nucleotide long non-coding RNA is filed under the name Homo sapiens (human). RNAcentral's name for it is "HSALNT0363829". Lineage: Eukaryota; Metazoa; Chordata; Mammalia; Primates; Hominidae. The record is from RNAcentral.
AGAACACAGAACCCAACCAUUGUUUCUCGUGGCUCCCCAUAGUUCUUAGGAUGAGGCCCCAGCUCCUUAACUUGGCAUUCAAGGCCUCACAUCAUCCUGCUCCUGCCACUCUCUCCAGCCGCCUCCACUCCUCUCCCACCGCCAUGCUCUAAUGCAGGGACAAAGCUGAUUCUGAGCAGAUCUGGCACAAGGAAGUCACCAGAAAACACUAUUGGGUUCCUCAAGGGUAAAGACUGGAUCUUAUCCAUCUUGUUGCCCAUUCCUGCCUCUGCAAUCAUGUGCACUCUGGGAACUUGGAAAAUACAUUGUGGCAUCCAGUAUUAAAUCUCAUGGUACCUAGAAUGACUGUUGUCAUUCAUUCAUCCAUUUAUUCAUUCACUC